Molecule: ribosomal RNA, 253 nt
Filed under: uncultured cyanobacterium
Lineage: Bacteria; Bacillati; Cyanobacteriota
Description: partial 16S ribosomal RNA
Rfam family: Bacterial small subunit ribosomal RNA
Source: RNAcentral
UACGUAGGUGGCAAGCGUUGUCCGGAUUUAUUGGGCGUAAAGCGAGUGCAGGCGGUUCAAUAAGUCUGAUGUUAAAGCCCGGGGCUCAACUCCGGUUCGGCAUUGGAUACUAUCUAGCUAGAAUGUGGUAGAGGUAAAGGGAAUUCCUGGUGUAGCGGUGAAAUGCGUAGAUAUCAGGAGGAACAUCGGUGGCGAAAGCGCUUUACUGGACCAUUAUUGACGCUGAGGAACGAAAGCCAGGGGAGCAAAUGGG